Osmerus eperlanus (European smelt) is the source of this 627-nucleotide long non-coding RNA. RefSeq lists it as uncharacterized. The transcript has 2 exons. The record is from RefSeq and is a predicted model, not a curated record. Lineage: Eukaryota; Metazoa; Chordata; Actinopteri; Osmeriformes; Osmeridae.
GCAGAGCCAGCAACAGUGUCAUAUCAGAUAAUGCAAGCUUCACACAUUCAGUGAUUCCCGAGGUACCAUCCGAGCGCUGGGAUCCAACGUUCAAAUUUACAGGCAUGAAAUUACUAUUAAAUCCUUCACCGACCAGCGGAGCUCGGGGCAGACGGUGUAACGCGUUCUGUGGAAAAGCUACGAAGCCACACGGGCGCGAGGAAUUCAAGGAGAGUCAUACAGGAUUAUUAACAUUAGGCUAUAUUAACUAACUUUGGUGCGAUGAAUUGGCGCAUUGAACACGACUAAGUUUCAAACGUUAUGCCAAACAGUAAAUUAUGGGAUGGCGAGUAUGUGUUCCUGCUUUCUACUUUUCGAAGUCACCUUUGGAGGACCAACUCUCUAACUGUGACAACUGACAUCUCUGAUUGUCACCUGGCAUCAUGACCUGGCAGGGGUCAAAGUGUCAUCCUUUGGCUUUGGUGUUAGGUCUUACGUCAAACCUUAGACUUGAGACGAUGUUGAUUAUAGGAUACAAUUUUGUGUAAUACGUUGUAUUGGUUAUGGAGGAAUAUAUUCAGAAACUGUAUUAUUCUUCAAAUAGAAAUUAAUUGACAUAUGCUGCAAAUAAAGAUACUUUAUUAAGUC